UGGGGAAUAUUGCACAAUGGGCGCAAGCCUGAUGCAGCCAUGCCGCGUGUGUGAAGAAGGCCUUCGGGUUGUAAAGCACUUUCAGCGAGGAGGAAGGUGGUGAGCUUAAUACGCUCAUCAAUUGACGUUACUCGCAGAAGAAGCACCGGCUAACUCCGUGCCAGCAGCCGCGGUAAUACGGAGGGUACAAGCGUUAAUCGGAAUUACUGGGCGUAAAGCGCACGCAGGCGGUUUGUUAAGUCAGAUGUGAAAUCCCCGGGCUCAACCUGGGAACUGCAUUUGAAACUGGCAAGCUAGAGUCUCGUAGAGGGGGGUAGAAUUCCAGGUGUAGCGGUGAAAUGCGUAGAGAUCUGGAGGAAUACCGGUGGCGAAGGCGGCCCCCUGGACGAAGACUGACGCUCAGGUGCGAAAGCGUGGGGAGCAAACAGGAUUAGAUACCCUGGUAGUCCACGCUGUAAACGAUGUCGAUUUUGGAGGUUGUGCCCUUGAGGCGUGGCUUCCGGAGCUAACGCGUUAAAUCGACCGCCUGGGGAGUACGGCCGCAAGGUUAAAACUCAAAUGAAUUGACGGGGUC
This 574-nucleotide ribosomal RNA is filed under the name uncultured bacterium. RNAcentral describes it as "partial 16S ribosomal RNA". It matches the Rfam family "Bacterial small subunit ribosomal RNA", at positions 355 to 920 of the family's 1533-position model. The record is from RNAcentral.